Non-coding RNA from Pelobates cultripes (western spadefoot toad), 215 nucleotides. The record is from the annotation of a GenBank genome assembly. Lineage: Eukaryota; Metazoa; Chordata; Amphibia; Anura; Pelobatidae.
GGCACCUUGUACAUUUAAACGUCGCAGGCCCUCCCAACAACAACCCUGGCACACCAAGCUCACUCGAUACCUCCAAAAAUGCUCCAGAACUGCUGAACGCUGUUGGAGAAAGUCUCACUGUGCAUCUGACUUUCUCCACUAUAAAUUUAUGCUGAGCUCAUACAGCUUGGCUCUUUCCUCUGCAAAAGUUAAUUACUUCAAUACUCUCAUAACCA